CCGAAAUGUUCUAUCGCGCUGUGGAGCUGAAAGUCCACGUGUAACAUACCAGAUUUUGGUAUAAAAAUAAAAAUAAAUAAAUAUAGAGUGAGAUACUAUUUUUAUUGAAUUUAGAGAAGUAAAGCAUGAGUCAGAAGUGACUUGUGCUGAAAUCGGAAUGAAAACAGAAGAUCUAGAAUUUUCUGUUGGAAACGGGACAGAUAAAUUAGCAAAAAAUGCACAGUCUCAGAAAAUUAUGAAAAUUGGAGGAUAAGUCAGAAAUACUUUUAUGAGACUAGAUUUAAAGUUUCAUUUUUUUUUGACACCCGAAAGGUGAAAAAUAAAAUCCGACAGCUAUCUGAUAAAGAUUACAAUUCGGUACAGUUUUCGGUGACCAAAUGGAGUCGAAACUAAAAACUUAAAAUAUAUUCUUACUCAGUACGUUAAACU
This 429-nucleotide long non-coding RNA is filed under the name Ananas comosus (pineapple). RNAcentral's name for it is "long non-coding RNA (ACOM_LNC016578)". The record is from RNAcentral. Lineage: Eukaryota; Viridiplantae; Streptophyta; Magnoliopsida; Poales; Bromeliaceae.